This 429-nucleotide ribosomal RNA is filed under the name Chloroflexota bacterium. RNAcentral's name for it is "Chloroflexi bacterium partial 16S ribosomal RNA". It matches the Rfam family "Bacterial small subunit ribosomal RNA", at positions 355 to 776 of the family's 1533-position model. The record is from RNAcentral. Lineage: Bacteria; Bacillati; Chloroflexota.
UGGGGAAUAUUGCACAAUGGGCGCAAGCCUGAUGCAGCCAUGCCGCGUGUAUGAAGAAGGCUUUCGGGUUGUAAAGUACUUUCAGCGGGGAGGAAGGGAGUAAAGUUAAUACCUUUGCUCAUUGACGUUACCCGCAGAAGAAGCACCGGCUAACUCAGUGCCAGCAGCCGCGGUAAUACGGAGGGUGCAAGCGUUAAUCGGAAUUACUGGGCGUAAAGCGCACGCAGGCGGUUUGUUAAGUCAGAUGUGAAAUCCUCGGGCUCAACCUGGGACCUGCAUCUGAUACUGGCAAGCUUGAGUCUCGUAGAGGGGGGUAGAAUUCCAGGUGUAUCGGUUAAAUGCGUAGAGAUCUGGAGGAAUACCUGUGGCGAAGGCUGCCCCCUGGACGAAGACUGACGCUCAGGUGCGAAAGCGUGGGGAGCAAACAGG